GCCACAUUCCCAGGAUUCCCUGCAGAAUGUCCUGGUGUGUAUAAAGUGGUAUAGGGAGGGCCUCCCAUGAGUGGGGCUGGCACUAGAUAAACAACUGGCAGAGCCACAGGAACAAGGAUGCAGCAAAUAACUAACCGGCAGAAUCACUAUGAGGGUAACUGCUCCAGUGGACUGAUAAGGAGCAAGUCUGGACAUGCUGCCUCUUGGGCUGGGAGCCCUUUCACACCAGCCACUACUACUACUCUAAAGACACCAUGAAUUAGGGUGCCAGCAAGAGGAACUGCGCAGAGAUGGGUUCCCACCUGGUGGUGAUCAACAUGAGAGAUGAGCAGGUAAUUUGCCAGGGAUUGGUCUCCAGUGGGAAUUCAGUGCCCAGCUCUGGAGGAGACCUCCACACACUUAGACCUGCUCUUGAAUUUGAGCAGGAAAUUCAAUCUCCAUGUUCAUUCCAUCCUGAUCUUCCUCAGUCAUCACCACCAGCACCAGACUCACACCUUACAGGAACUCUGCCUUCCUAUUGUCUGCUCAGUGAUGGCAUCUGGCAAGAUUUACAUUUAUUUUUCAUCCAGGCUUUCCUUUCCAGUUGGAAAGUUCCAAAGGGAACUUAUACAGGCACCCAAGUAGAAAGUUACUAUAUUCGUCCGACUCAUCAGGAGGAGAAAGGUCAGUGGUGCUCAGUGGAUCAGACUCCAAUAACCAGACUGCAGUGUUCUGGAAAGACAGAGAACCCAGUAACCUUGACAAGGAGAAGUGUGUUGUCAUGGAUAUGAGGGGAAACACAUACUCAGAGGACUACGAAUUGGAAUAAUCUCCCAUUACACAGCAACUUAUCGACACUGAAAAACUGCAGCAACAAAUAUUUGAUUAAAAAAACAUCCUGGGUGUCAGAGUGGAGAGAGAACCCAUUCCUCACCAGAAGCAGCUCACAAAGAUUUGAUAGGAGGGGUCAGAUUAGUCCUGAUCUGCACUUAUGUGGGAGUGGUGGGGACUGUGGUGGAAGUUCCCGCACUCAGUGGCCUGAACCCAAAGUAAUUUAAAAAAAAUUAAAGCUGCUGAAAAU
Long non-coding RNA from Mauremys mutica (yellowpond turtle), 1060 nucleotides. RefSeq lists it as uncharacterized. NCBI's taxonomy places the organism in Eukaryota, Metazoa, Chordata, Testudines, Geoemydidae. The transcript has 3 exons. The record is from RefSeq and is a predicted model, not a curated record.